Long non-coding RNA from Corvus hawaiiensis (hawaiian crow), 1353 nucleotides. RefSeq lists it as uncharacterized. NCBI's taxonomy places the organism in Eukaryota, Metazoa, Chordata, Aves, Passeriformes, Corvidae. The record is from RefSeq and is a predicted model, not a curated record. The transcript has 2 exons.
UCUUCUUUUGUUUCUUUUUGGGGUUUGGGGUUUUUUUCUUUUCCUUCAUCAUUUCUUUUCUGAUCUAUCGGGAGCAGCGUUUUACCUUCCAGAGGCAGCCCGUUCCCGCCGCACUAAGUGGGAUUUUCACGGGUGUAGACGACGGGUUGUAGGCCGGGAGUUUUAAUUUUUUUUCAACGUAAAGGCGUUCAUAAUGGUAGGAAGUGCAUUUCCAAAGAUGUAGUGACACCUGCAGCCCUCCUUGUUUUGAGUGGGAUGCCCCCAGCCCCCGCAGGCGACGGGAGGCUCGGGUUGCGUUCCCGCGGUAGGUGUGGGAGAUCUGAACGCAGCUGACCUCCCCCGCUACGGAGCCCUUCCUCCGCCGGUCCCUGGCAGGGCAGAGGGCUCUUGGAGGGACACGGUCCAUUAUUACCCAGCCGGUCAUCCCAAGCCGUGCCUUGCAGGCCAAGCCAGCGCGGAGGGGCCAGCGGUGCGCUCUCCCCGCUGCCCGCCGUCCUGCGCGUCCGCCGGGGAAAUCACGGCGAUUUGCCUGUGCCUUUGAAACGUGCACGCUCGGCUGGAUUUACGGCUUGGUUGAUACAAGCCAACACUUUUUAUUAUUGCAGAUAAGAGUCAGAAUAUAGCCACGCUCAGUCGGGGCGGUUGUGCAAGCCCACGGAGGGGGCGGUCCUGGAAUCGCUACCAGCGAGCGGUGUGAGCUCAGCGGAAUAUUGUUUACAGGCCAGGCCGACGGUGACCCGAGGCCAACGGGCUCAUGGAGCGGGGAGCCGGCUUCUCCGAGGGGCCGUGCCCACCACGAGAGCGGAGUGUGGCCCUGGGGAUGCUGUGGCCCCGUGGGGGUGGCUGAGGGCCCCGGUAGAGCCAGGGCGGAGAGAAGAGAGGUCUUGCUUUGCCAGAUUACUUCAUAACCUCUUGAAUUCCUGGCCACCUGCUAUGGCUUCUUAUGCAGAAGGUGAGCUUUUUUGGAAAGUCCAUCCUCAAGACAUGAGGCCAGAAGUCUCUUGAAAACAGAGUCUAUGGACUGCAUGCCUUUUCACUGAGGGGUCUUCCAUGUCCAACCUCUUCGUCAUUCCCUGCUUUGCCAAGGACUUGUCAGCUUUCAGGGCAGGGUGGAAAGCCUCUCUUAGAGAUGUGGGGCCAGCAGUGAACCCUUGCACAUGUACAUUUUGUAGCCUUUUUUAAGUUUUCUUGCAAUCUCUAUAGUGCUUUUUACUUUAAACAGGAUCUCUUUUUCUGAUGUUCUUUCUUUCUUUUCUCUGAGGAAACCCACUCCCUUGUAUAUUUGAAGCAAGCUGAGAUGCAGCCAAUUGUAUUAGUUCUGGCUGGAGCAAAAAUGCAUAAUGAAACACUGGA